RNAcentral lists this unclassified non-coding RNA (334 nucleotides) under soil metagenome. RNAcentral describes it as "partial contains 5.8S ribosomal RNA, internal transcribed spacer 2, and large subunit ribosomal RNA". The stretch from base 1 to 120 matches the Rfam family "5.8S ribosomal RNA", at positions 35 to 154 of the family's 154-position model. The record is from RNAcentral.
GAUGAAGAACGUAGCGAAAUGCGAUACGUAAUGUGAAUUGCAGAAUUCAGUGAAUCAUCGAAUCUUUGGACGCACAUUGCGCCCGCCAGCACUCUGGCGGGCAUGCCUGUUCGAGCGUCAUUUCAACCAUCAAGCCCCAGGCUUGCGUUGGAGCCCUGCGGCUGCCGCAGCCUCCUAAAAGCAGUGGCGGGCUCGCUAUCACACCGAGUGCAGUAGAUUACUCUUCGCUCAGGGCGUGCAGCGGGUUCCGGCCGUGAAACCCCCUACUUUUAAAGGUUGACCUCGGAUCAGGUAGGAAUACCCGCUGAACUUAAGCAUAUCAAUAAGCGGAGGA